Molecule: ribosomal RNA, 75 nt
Filed under: Streptomyces sp. SID8358
Lineage: Bacteria; Bacillati; Actinomycetota; Actinomycetes; Kitasatosporales; Streptomycetaceae
Description: partial 23S ribosomal RNA
Source: RNAcentral
GAUAGGCCAGAUGUGGAAGCCCGGUAACGGGUGGAGCUGACUGGUACUAAUAGGCCGAGGGCUUGUCCUCAGUUG